This 192-nucleotide small nuclear RNA is filed under the name Catagonus wagneri (Chacoan peccary). RNAcentral's name for it is "U2 spliceosomal RNA (ENSCWAG00000003943.1)". It matches the Rfam family "U2 spliceosomal RNA". From Rfam's summary of the family: U2 is a small nuclear RNA (snRNA) component of the spliceosome (involved in pre-mRNA splicing). Complementary binding between U2 snRNA (in an area lying towards the 5' end but 3' to hairpin I) and the branchpoint sequence (BPS) of the intron results the bulging out of an unpaired adenosine, on the BPS, which initiates a nucleophilic attack at the intronic 5' splice site, thus starting the first of two transesterification reactions that mediate splicing. The record is from Rfam by way of RNAcentral. Lineage: Eukaryota; Metazoa; Chordata; Mammalia; Artiodactyla; Tayassuidae.
AUUGCUUCUUCACCUUUCGGCUUAGAUCAAGCGUAGUAUCUGUUCUUAACAGUUUAAUAUCUGAUACAUCCUCUCUCUGAGAACAAUAAAUUAAAUGGAUUUUUUGGAGCUAGGAGUUGGAAUAGGAGCUUGCUCCGUCCACCCCAUGCAUUGACCUGGUAUCGCAGUACUUCCAGGAACAGUGCACCCCCU